RNAcentral lists this ribosomal RNA (468 nucleotides) under uncultured bacterium. RNAcentral's name for it is "partial 16S ribosomal RNA". It matches the Rfam family "Bacterial small subunit ribosomal RNA", at positions 28 to 507 of the family's 1533-position model. The record is from RNAcentral.
GAUGAACGCUGGCGGCGUGCUUAACACAUGCAAGUCGAACGGAAAGGCCCAAGCUUGCUUGGGUACUCGAUUGCCGAACGGGUGAGUAACACGUGGGUGAUCUGCCCUGCACUUCGGGAUAAGCCUGGGAAACUGGGUCUCAUACCGGAUAGGACCUCUUCUUGGGUGUUGUUGUGGAAAGUUUUCUCGGUGUGGGAUGAGCUCGCGGCGUAUCAGCUUGUUGGUGGGGUAAUGGCCUACCAAGGCGUCGACGGGUAGCCGACACGAGAGGGUGUAGGGCCAGUCUAGAACCGUGAGACGGCCAACACUAGUGCGGGAGGCAGCAGUGGGGAAUAUUGCACAAUGCGCGCCAGCCUGAGGGAGGAAGGUCGCGUGAGGGUUGACGGCCGUCGGGAUGUAAGCUCCAAUCGCUAGGGAAGAAGCGUCUUUGUGACGGUACCUGGAGAAGAAGCACCGGCUAACUACGUG